AUUGAACGCUGGCGGCAGGCUUAACGCAUGCAAGUCGAGCGGGGUGAUGGUGCUUGCACUAUCACUUAGCGGCGGACGGGUGAGUAAUGCUUAGGAAUCUGCCUAUUAGUGGGGGACAACAUCUCGAAAGGGAUGCUAAUACCGCAUACGUCCUACGGGAGAAAGCAGGGGAUCACUUGUGACCUUGCGCUAAUAGAUGAGCCUAAGUCGGAUUAGCUAGUUGGUGGGGUAAAGGCCUACCAAGGCGACGAUCUGUAGCGGGUCUGAGAGGAUGAUCCGCCACACUGGGACUGAGACACGGCCCAGACUCCUACGGGAGGCAGCAGUGGGGAAUUUUGGACAAUGGGCGAAAGCCUGAUCCAGCAAUGCCGCGUGUGUGAAGAAGGCCUUCGGGUUGUAAAGCACUUUUGUCCGGAAAGAAAUGGCACUGGUUAAUACCUGGGGUCGAUGACGGUACCGGAAGAAUAAGGACCGGCUAACUACGUGCCAGCCGCCGCCGUAA
This 502-nucleotide ribosomal RNA is filed under the name uncultured bacterium. RNAcentral describes it as "partial 16S ribosomal RNA". It matches the Rfam family "Bacterial small subunit ribosomal RNA", at positions 30 to 523 of the family's 1533-position model. The record is from RNAcentral.